This 242-nucleotide long non-coding RNA is filed under the name Bos taurus (domestic cattle). Its description in RNAcentral is "long non-coding RNA NONBTAT018598". The record is from RNAcentral. Lineage: Eukaryota; Metazoa; Chordata; Mammalia; Artiodactyla; Bovidae.
UGAACUAGUUUUUAUCUCUUGGAGGACACUCUCUCUUGGCUCUCAGUCCCUGCACUAAUAAGGAAGUCUUUUGUGAUGUUUUUGCUGCAAAGUGCAGAAUUCAGAUAAUCUUUACCUUGGGUGCCUGCCAAGUAAGGAGGAAAAGGAAAAUGGAGCAGGUGCCCCUUAGGGUACUUAUUAAUAUCCAUUUGGUUUUACAGUAUGGAGGGAGGCGCUUCCAGGUUGUGUACAUGUAAAUAAAG